GAUGAACGCUGGCGGCGUGCCUAAUACAUGCAAGUCGAGCGAACGGACGAGAAGCUUGCUUCUCUGAUGUUAACGGCGGACGGGGGAGUAACACGUGGAUAACCUACCUAUAAGACUGGGGUAACUUCGGGAAACCGGAGCUAAUACCGGAUAAUAUUUUGAACCGCAUGGUUCAAAAGUGAAAGACGGUCUUGCUGUCACUUAUAGAUGGAUCCGCGCUGCAUUAGCUAGUUGGUAAGGUAACGGCUUACCAAGGCAACGAUGCAUAGCCGACCUGAGAGGGUGAUCGGCCACACUGGAACUGAGACACGGUCCAGACUCCUACGGGAGGCAGCAGUAGGGAAUCUUCCGCAAUGGGCGAAAGCCUGACGGAGCAACGCCGCGUGAGUGAUGAAGGUCUUCGGAUCGUAAAACUCUGUUAUUAGGGAAGAACAUAUGUGUAAGUAACUGUGCACAUCUUGACGGUACCUAAUCAGAAAGCCACGGCUAACUACGUG
RNAcentral lists this ribosomal RNA (497 nucleotides) under uncultured bacterium. RNAcentral describes it as "partial 16S ribosomal RNA". It matches the Rfam family "Bacterial small subunit ribosomal RNA", at positions 28 to 507 of the family's 1533-position model. The record is from RNAcentral.